GACGAACGCUGGCGGCGUGCCUAAUACAUGCAAGUUGAGCGCUGAAGGUUGGUACUUGUACCAACUGGAUGAGCAGCGAACGGGUGAGUAACGCGUGGGGAAUCUGCCUUUGAGCGGGGGACAACAUUUGGAAACGAAUGCUAAUACCGCAUAAAAACUUUAAACACAAGUUUUAAGUUUGAAAGAUGCAAUUGCAUCACUCAAAGAUGAUUCCGCGUUGUAUUAGCUAGUUGGUGAGGUAAAGGCUCACCAAGGCGAUGAUAGAUAGCCGACCUGAAAGGGUGAUCCGCCAAAUUGGGAAUUAGACAAGGCCCAAAAUCCUACGGGAGGCAGCAGUAAGGAAUCUUCGGCAAUGGACGAAAGUCUGACCGAGCAACGCCGCGUGAGUGAAGAAGGUUUUCGGAUCGUAAAACUCUGUUGGUAGAGAAGAAAGUUGGUGAGAGUGGAAAGCUCAUCAAGUGACGGUAACUACACAGAAAGGGACGGCUAACUACGUG
This 497-nucleotide ribosomal RNA is filed under the name uncultured bacterium. Its description in RNAcentral is "partial 16S ribosomal RNA". It matches the Rfam family "Bacterial small subunit ribosomal RNA", at positions 28 to 507 of the family's 1533-position model. The record is from RNAcentral.